CGCCUCUCGAUGACAAUGAGAGGUCUAGCCUGCCCAGUGAUAAACUUCAACGGCCGCGGUACCCUAACCGUGCAAAGGUAGCAUAAUCACUUGUUCCUUAAAUAGGGACUUGUAUCAACGGCAUUACGAGGGUUGCACUGUCUCCCCCCUCCAAUCAGUGAAACUGAUCUCCCCGUGAAAAAGCGGGGAUAUUAAUAUAAGACGAGAAGACCCCAUGGAGCUUUAAACCCAAUAGCAAUUUAGUAAAACUAUAAACUAUGCUAACGGCUUUAGGUUGGGGUGACCACGGAGUAAAAAUUAACCUCCACAACGAAAAGAUGAAAAUCUUAACCCAAGAACCACUAUUCUAGGAAUUAGAAAACUAACGGACCAUGACCCGAUAUCGAUCAAUGAACCAAGUUACCCUGGGGAUAACAGCGCAAUCUACUUCAAGAGUUCAUAUCGACAAGUAGGCUUACGACCUCGAUGUUGGAUCAGGGUAUCCUAGUGGUGCAGCCGCUACUAAUGGUUCGUUUGUUCAACGAUUAAAACCCU
RNAcentral lists this ribosomal RNA (534 nucleotides) under Raorchestes marki (Mark's bush frog). Its description in RNAcentral is "partial 16S ribosomal RNA". It matches the Rfam family "Bacterial large subunit ribosomal RNA", at positions 1817 to 2597 of the family's 2925-position model. The record is from RNAcentral. Lineage: Eukaryota; Metazoa; Chordata; Amphibia; Anura; Rhacophoridae.